Molecule: transfer RNA, 62 nt
Filed under: Equus caballus (horse)
Lineage: Eukaryota; Metazoa; Chordata; Mammalia; Perissodactyla; Equidae
Description: partial transfer RNA-Thr
Source: RNAcentral
AGUCCUUGGGAGGAACGUUUUCCCCCUUUUCUGGUUUACAAGACCAGGGUAAGGUGAAGACG